RNAcentral lists this ribosomal RNA (253 nucleotides) under uncultured bacterium. RNAcentral describes it as "partial 16S ribosomal RNA". It matches the Rfam family "Bacterial small subunit ribosomal RNA", at positions 524 to 776 of the family's 1533-position model. The record is from RNAcentral.
UACGGAGGGUGCAAGCGUCAAUCGGAAUUACUGGGCGUAAAGCGCACGCAGGUGGCUGAGUCAGUCGAUUGUGAAAGCCCUGGGCUUAACCUGGGAAUUGCAGUCGAUACUACUCAGCUAGAGUAUGGGAGAGGGCAGUGGAAUUCCCGGUGUAGCGGUGAAAUGCGUAGAUAUCGGGAGGAACAUCAGUGGCGAAGGCGGCUGCCUGGCCCAAUACUGACACUCAGGUGCGACAGCGUGGGGAGCAAACAGG